This is a long non-coding RNA of Pistacia vera, 814 nucleotides long. RefSeq lists it as uncharacterized. The record is from RefSeq and is a predicted model, not a curated record. The transcript has 3 exons. Lineage: Eukaryota; Viridiplantae; Streptophyta; Magnoliopsida; Sapindales; Anacardiaceae.
AGAAAGAUGUCCGGUUCUAUGAUCUUUUACAUAUGAUGGUGUUGAAUAUGCUCUUUAUGAUUGUGUAUAUAUGUACAAGGAAGGGGAACCCGAACCUUAUAUGGUAAAGUUAUAAAGAUAUGGGAGAAUGCUGAUAAGACGAAGAAAUAAAGGUUCUUUGGUUUUUCGCGUCCUUGUGAAUUUCAAAUUUUCUUGGGAAUGAUCAGAUACCUGAGAAUGAAUUAUUUCUGCAUGUGGUGAAGGUGUAGGCCUUGCUAAUGUCAAUCCUCUGGAAGCAAUUGCUGGAAAAUGCAAGGUUGUUUUGCAUUUCAAAGGAUGACAGAAUCCACAACCAUCAGCUGGAGAACUUCAAAUGAGUGACUUGUCUUUACCGGACGUUUGAUGUUGGGCACCGUAAAAUCUUGGAUACAAUUGAUGAAAUGAUUGCUGGGAUUCAAGUGAAGUUUAUAUUUAACCGACUGGAUUCUCAAAAAUCUAGUGGUGAUCUGAAACUUGUUUCAGAAAAGAAGAUGUCGCUGUAGCAGUGGAAGUAGUGAUUUCAGCCGAGCAAGAGGUGCCAGAAAAACAUGUAACUGAAGAAGCAGAGGGUACUCUAUGAUACCUUGCCAAUGAAAUGUGAAUGCUUCUUUAGUUAAACAAAAGUCUUCUCUUUUAGAAAAGCCAACUUCUAGUGUAGAUUUAGAGCCAGGUGAAAGGAUAAAAUGAAAAUAAAAGAGAUGCAUCAUUGUUGAACGCUGCACUGGUUAAACAGAAACCUCACUUGGAAAAAAGCUGCCUCUUCUGUAGGCAUAGAUUGCAGUGAAAUGGCAAAUGC